AUGCGGCCUCCACCGCGAGGACACAGGCGACCCGCUGAGGAGUGGCCCCUCUUCCCAGGAAUGCCUCCUCCCUCUGAACCCCCUGGGAAAAGGCCAUCCAAAAAUAGCUCUCCGGCCCUGCCGGAGUCCCCGGGACCCGCACCAGGCCCCUGGGCGACCCGCGCCCUAUCAGGGGGAGCCCCAGUCGGGGGCACCUGGGACUCCGCGCCUGCCAAGCGUCCCCGGGGCACUGCAAUGAGGUCACCGCCGCCGACCCCGCCCGGCGCGGCCAAUGGCGCGCCCACAGGCACGCGGGCGGGGGCGGCUGCGGGCGGAGGGAAGGCGGCCGUGUCCAGGGACAAGGAGCAGGGUGUCCAGGCUGCGCGUCCUGGGACCCCCGGGCCGAAGGGUGCCGGCAGGCCGGUCCAAGGGUCCGGGAGGCGCCUCUCCUUGCCCCUGCGCCUCCCUCACCCGACCCGCGUCCGCCUCCCGCGGAAGGGCCUGCGAAGGAGCUGGGCCAGGCGGUGGGUGCGGCCUCCCGGAACCUCCCGGCGCCUGCGGCUGGGCCUCCGGGACUGGGGCGCGCAGGGCCUUCGGCCUCCUCGUUCCCCUCGUCCCCGUGGCGCCGCUCGGCCGGGCUGCCGUGACGUCGCACUCACCUACCACUCGUCGGAGUCCGGGACCGGGCGGCGGCGGCGGCGGCUGCGGGGGCGGCGGCUCCCAGCGCUGAGAAUGCGCGGCCCGGCGCCUGCGAGGGGGACGCCCCGCCCCGGCCCGCCCCUCCCCGGCCUCAAGCCCCGCCUGCGGCGGCAGGAGCUCCGCAGGUCUGAACCCGCGUGGCGGGCGGGAGCCGGUGGGUGUAGGCGCUGGGGGUCGACCCGGCACUGCGGAGGCCGGGCGAGCUGCAGCCCUGGGGGUGCCAACAGCCCAUCAAGGGCUCAUCCGGUCCAGGGACAGAGGAGCUGGGCGGGAGGCGGGCCUGGAGGUAAGACGGCGACCAGCCCAGCCAGAGGCCCUGGGCUGUGGCGACCGGGCCCUCCUCCAUGCCCAACCCCCAUCUCUUUCUCAGCACCCAGGAACCGCCCAGAGGCUGCAGGGGUCGGCAGAACGGAUGCCGGCCUGGGGGAGGGGAGGGCCUAG
RNAcentral lists this long non-coding RNA (1119 nucleotides) under Piliocolobus tephrosceles (Ugandan red Colobus). Its description in RNAcentral is "lncRNA (ENSPTEG00000018569.1)". Lineage: Eukaryota; Metazoa; Chordata; Mammalia; Primates; Cercopithecidae. The record is from RNAcentral.